AAAUGGAUGAAUAGUUAGAAAAAGCAGUUUUCAUUAGAGAUGUAGUAGUUGGUAUCUCGUGGUAGGAUAAGGAGGAUGAGAGAGAGGAAGAAAGGGCCAUUACUGUGAUAGUGUGAGCCGGGGUAAGCUUGGUGCUACCUCUUUUCUUUUGUUGUUAUGUUCUUUGAAAUAAGAGUAUUGAGAGUUUCUGAAUAUUGUGAAGUGAAUCAUGGAAUGAAAGUGUGAUUGGAAUUAUAUGUUAUUAAAUGGGAAGAAGAAAGAUUGAAUGCUGAAAUCUGAAUGUAGUUCAGCAGAAAGAGUGAAUUUGUGGUUGUGUGAAACACUGUAAUGUGAAUGGUAGUUAUGUAUGAAGAAUUCCAGUAAUUGGAAUGAGGGUAAUUGUGUGCUGAAGCUGUGAUGUUGCGGUAUUACAGUUGGAGAUUGUAAGAGUGAAGAUAUAUUGGUGGAAAUAACAAUUAUUGAUAUGACUGAAUUGUU
RNAcentral lists this long non-coding RNA (477 nucleotides) under Physcomitrium patens. RNAcentral describes it as "long non-coding RNA (PPAT_LNC001241)". The record is from RNAcentral. Lineage: Eukaryota; Viridiplantae; Streptophyta; Bryopsida; Funariales; Funariaceae.